AUGCUCACUGUGGCAGCACAGACACUAAAAUUGGAAUGAUACAGAAGAGAUUCACACAGCCCCUGUGGAAGGAUGAGAUGCAAAUUUGCGAAGCAUUCCAUAUUUUU
Choloepus hoffmanni (Hoffmann's two-fingered sloth) is the source of this 107-nucleotide small nuclear RNA. The record is from Ensembl. Lineage: Eukaryota; Metazoa; Chordata; Mammalia; Pilosa; Megalonychidae.